CCCCUCCGGGGCCGCAGCUAACGCAAUAAGUAUCCCGCCUGGGGAGUACGGUCGCAAGGCUGAACUCCAAAGGGAAUUGACGCGGGCCCGCACAAGCAGUGGAGCAUGUGGUGUAAUCCGAUGCAACGCGAAGAACCUUACCAGGUGCUGACAUCCAAAGAAUCUUCCUGAAAGGGAGGAGUGCCUUCGGGAGCUUCGAGACAGGUGGUGCAUGGUUGUCGUCAGCUCGUGUCGUGAGAUGUUGGGUUAAGUCCCGCAACGAGCGCAACCCUUGCUAUUAGUCGCUAACAGGUUAAGCUGAGCACUNUAAUGGGACUGCCGGUGCCAAGCCGGAGGAAGGUGGGGAUGACGUCAAAUCAUCAUGCCCUUUAUGACCUGGGCUACACACGUGCUACAAUGGAUGGUACAGAGAGCAGCAAGACCGCGAGGUGGAGCGAAUCUCAAAAAGCCAUUCUCAGUUCGGAUUGUAGUCUGCAACUCGAUUACAUGAAGUCGGAAUCGCUAGUAAUCGCGAAUCAGCAUGUCGCGGUGAAUGCGUUCCCGGGCCUUGUACACACCGCCAGUCACACCACGAAAGUCGGCAACACCUGAAGCCAGUGAGUUAACUCUCAAGAGAGGCAGCUGUCGAAGGUGGGGUUGGUAAUUGGGGUGAAGUCGUAACAAGGU
RNAcentral lists this ribosomal RNA (666 nucleotides) under uncultured bacterium. RNAcentral describes it as "bacterial SSU rRNA". It matches the Rfam family "Bacterial small subunit ribosomal RNA", at positions 835 to 1497 of the family's 1533-position model. The record is from RNAcentral.